Onychomys torridus (southern grasshopper mouse) is the source of this 2265-nucleotide long non-coding RNA. RefSeq lists it as uncharacterized. The record is from RefSeq and is a predicted model, not a curated record. The transcript is spliced from 3 exons. Lineage: Eukaryota; Metazoa; Chordata; Mammalia; Rodentia; Cricetidae.
CCAGGAAUUCAGGAGAAAGAGGUACAGCAGGCAUGCCUUCAGCCUCUUUGGAUACCCGGAGUUUGUAGCUUGAGUUGGACCUAAAACCUGACCAGCAUCCACCAGACCUGAGUUUGAACUGAGCACAUUGGGAAAUCUUUGCAAGGAAGAGGACCUGCCUGUCACCCAAUGAAGCUGAGGGCAGCAAUCUGGGUCAAGAAAGGUCCUUAAAAUGCCAAAUUCUCUGUUUUGCCCUAUGCAUGGAAUGCCUACCUGCUUCCCACCCGCCCCACCCCUCCAGGCCCCUUCUGUUCUGUGUUCCUGGGAGCACUCUGCAGUUGUUCAGAUAGUCACACACAGAAGCAGUCCACUGUUUGCCCGGCUCAGUUUUCCAGGGCAUGGCACACCUCUCCCUGGCCUGAGCCUCCUACCCAGCAACCCUACAAACAAUGCCCUCUUUCCACCCGCUGUUAACAAUUUCAAAAUAGCUUUCCCUCCACAGGCACUGCAUUGCAGUAGCCACUGACCUAACUACUAUCCAGCAGACCCCCUCACUGCCGAGCCCUAAAUUCAAACACGAUGAGCAACCAACUCAGACUGCUCAGAUUUCACUAGGCCCAUGGUUCACAGAGGAAAUCCCUACCUGACCCGUCGAUCAGCCCGAAACUUCAACAUCUUUUUGGAAGCUCAGUCCCCAGUUCGGCAGCCUCAGAGGAGCCACCAGCCACCCUCCUGCUACCAUCCCUCCGAGAAGUAAGUCCUUGGCUCCAACUCUUAAUGCUGUGGCAGAGACGUGGGGCGAGCUGGGGCAGGCUUCAUGGGUUGCCCUUUCUCCUGGCUCUAGCACUGGAGAACAGGGACAGGGCUCCCCCUGGGCAAUGGGAGGGGUAGCCCAGGUGCCCUAGGGGGCCUAUGGCUUCCUAGCAUUCGCCUGUGAUGCUACAGUUAGAAGGCCGGAGACAGAAUAAAUGAAGAAGAGAACCUCCCAGUGCAGGUUCCCAAGAAGGAAAUGCAGAAAUGGAGAGAGGCAUGCACGGAGCAGGUGUACAGCUUCCAGGUAGUCCGACCUCACUGGGCUAAGGACACUGAGCAGCUGGGCGGGCGGAGGAGCAUGGGCUGCAUUCCCAUCUGCACGGAAACUCAUGCCAGCCCGACCUGCAGGGAGACGGUGUUCCAGCCUCUCCAGCUCCGAGCCCAGACAUGGGCUCUGGGGCAGCAAACCAACUUGCUUCUCCGAGACCUUCCAAGCCCUUCUGAGGGUUAAAGGAAGCUUCAGGUUCAUUGGCUGUUACUGUUGCUGUUGCUGAGAAGCUGAAGAGAAUUGAAGUCUCCGUUCCUUUCUCUCAGCCUGCCCAGCUUUCAUCUGUACAGACAGGAGCAUGAUACGUGAAGCGGCUCUGCAGCCGCCCUGACACAUUCCCCUCUCCAGUGGCUUGCCCUCCGAGUGCGCUGGCCCAGCUGGAUUCUUGGGCUGCAAGGCCUUCUGAAGGUCACCUCCUCAUCCCCCUGCCUCCAGACAAGCUUAUUCUCUUAUCAGUCCUUGUAAGUGCCUUGGAGGUUUGCAGAGGAUUCCAGCAAAGGAGGACCCAGGCUCGAUGUCAUCUUAAACAGCCAAGAUGCUCUUUCUGACGCUGUUUAGCUCCUCUGCCUUCUAUUGCUUCUACUUCACAUGGCAGAUUCCUUUCUGACCAAGGUGCUUCUUUUUGCAGCACCGGGCAUUCUGUUGACAUCAUAGUCUGUUGUUAUGGCAACUCUGUGAUAUCACAGUAGACACUCAAAGGGCAGGGCUGAUCUAAUUGUUUGGACUGAGGUCAGAGGAACAAUGGGAUCAGUAAACAGAAAAAUAAAUGGACAAUAUUAUUAUUUUUAACCCAUGAAGAGACAAGUUGGCCAGGUGUAAGCAGGGUCACAGCUGUUGAUAUUUAAACGACUAAUCCUAAAUCCAAAAGGUCAAUAUAUUCAGCCAUUUAGUGAGGCUUUGGUCAAUGAUUUAUCUUGGUGACAGGAGGCCUUAGAUCUGGGCUUGAACCUAUCUCUAGUUAAUUGAGCCAGAACCUUCUCCAGACGCCUUCUUGAGUUCCCUGUCUGCCUAACACAGGUACUCAAUAAAGUUUUGUUGAAUGUACAAAUGAACAGAUGAAAAAAAAACACUCCCAUGCUCCGGUGUCAUUUUUAGCUGCCUGCAUUUGAAGGUUGAUAUUCUAUUACCAAAGGCUCCCCUAUCUUAGCUCUCUCUUACAAUUAAUUACUUCCUCUCCGGGAGGGAAGCUCUGUUUCUGUCCCUUC